RNAcentral lists this ribosomal RNA (249 nucleotides) under Escherichia coli. RNAcentral's name for it is "partial 16S ribosomal RNA". It matches the Rfam family "Bacterial small subunit ribosomal RNA", at positions 1 to 244 of the family's 1533-position model. Lineage: Bacteria; Pseudomonadati; Pseudomonadota; Gammaproteobacteria; Enterobacterales; Enterobacteriaceae. The record is from RNAcentral.
UUAAAUUGAAGAGUUUGAUCAUGGCUCAGAUUGAACGCUGGCGGCAGGCCUAACACAUGCAAGUCGAACGGUAACAGGAAGAAGCUUGCUUCUUUGCUGACGAGUGGCGGACGGGUGAGUAAUGUCUGGGAAACUGCCUGAUGGAGGGGGAUAACUACUGGAAACGGUAGCUAAUACCGCAUAACAUCGCAAGACCAAAGAGGGGGACCUUCGGGCCUCUUGCCAUCGGAUGUGCCCAGAUGGGAUUAG